AGGAUUAUAGUUAAUUAAACAUUUAAUUUGCACUUAAAAAAUAUUGGAUAAAACCAAUUUAUCUUA
Molecule: transfer RNA, 66 nt
Filed under: Elateroidea sp. 6 KM-2017
Lineage: Eukaryota; Metazoa; Arthropoda; Insecta; Coleoptera
Description: tRNA-Ala
Rfam family: tRNA
About the family: Transfer RNA (tRNA) molecules are approximately 80 nucleotides in length. Their secondary structure includes four short double-helical elements and three loops (D, anti-codon, and T loops).
Source: RNAcentral